GGCGAACGGGUGAGUAACGCGUUUGGUGACCUGCCCCAAAGUGUGGGAUAACAGUUCAAAAGGAUUGCUAAUACCNCAUGUGGUCUCCGGGUUUANAAACCGGUGACUAAAGCAUUAAUGCNCUUUGGGAGGGACCUGCGUCCCAUCAGCUAGUUGGUGAGGUAACGGCCCACCAGGGCGACGACGGGUAGGGGACCUGAGAGGGUGGCCCCCCACAAUGGAACUGAAACACGGUCCAUACACCUACGGGUGGCAGC
This 257-nucleotide ribosomal RNA is filed under the name uncultured Anaerolineae bacterium. Its description in RNAcentral is "partial 16S ribosomal RNA". It matches the Rfam family "Bacterial small subunit ribosomal RNA", at positions 97 to 352 of the family's 1533-position model. The record is from RNAcentral. Lineage: Bacteria; Bacillati; Chloroflexota; Anaerolineae.